UUCGUUUGCGGAUGAUUGAUGAAAAAUC
Molecule: small RNA, 28 nt
Filed under: Bombyx mori (domestic silkworm)
Lineage: Eukaryota; Metazoa; Arthropoda; Insecta; Lepidoptera; Bombycidae
Description: ovarian small RNA-37449
Source: RNAcentral